This 473-nucleotide long non-coding RNA is filed under the name Bos taurus (domestic cattle). RNAcentral's name for it is "long non-coding RNA NONBTAT025354". Lineage: Eukaryota; Metazoa; Chordata; Mammalia; Artiodactyla; Bovidae. The record is from RNAcentral.
UUUGUUGUUGAUAGUAGCUUCAUAACUGAAGCUGAAAGGAAAUCAUCUGGGCUGUAUCCCAGGUCAUCAGAGUAGGAAAAGUGUAAGUAGAAUAAGAAUGCUAGAGUUUGGAACUAGAAAAGUUUGGAGAUGGAAUAUUCCAGCAUUUAUUAUGGAAUAGGUACUUCCUGGUGGGUGGGGAGCAGAGUUUAAUUCAGUUCUUGCAACUAGAACAUAGUUAAAAGCUUUUGAUCUUUGUGCCAUGCAGAUACGUAUCUCAUCAUUUGGCGAAAUUUCAGUUCUUCAGUCUCAUAUACAAUAAGCUAAAAACUGGAAUCUUUAUUAUAUUCAGAUAGUGGAAGAAGUGUUAGUCCUUUGAAUUCCUACCCACCCAUUUCUACCUUUAGAGACUACAGGAGGCCACUGCAGGCAUGUCCACUGUUGAUCCCCAUCAGUUUGUUUUACUUCCCUAGUUUCUCCCCACGUCCAUUUGC